RNA transcript from Leopardus geoffroyi (Geoffroy's cat), 4257 nucleotides. It is a transcript of the gene named aldehyde dehydrogenase 1 family member A2, with no coding region annotated. The transcript has 15 exons. NCBI's taxonomy places the organism in Eukaryota, Metazoa, Chordata, Mammalia, Carnivora, Felidae. The record is from RefSeq and is a predicted model, not a curated record.
CAUCACUGCCUGACCAGGACCCUGCGGCCGCGGUGCACCUCCGGCUCCGUUGAGGGGAGUGGGUGUGUGCUAGGCCGCCUGCCCGAAGAAAGAGAGCGGAGGGCGCCCCCGGGGUCUCCGGGAGAGAAGGGCCCCGGGACGCGAGAGGGAGGGCCCCCUGACGCACGCCCUCCUCUGCCGAGCCCGCUUGGCUCGCCGAGAGCCGCCCUUUGAGCUCCGAGAGCUAACUCCAACGCACCGCGUCAGCCCCCGCCGGUGCGGCUUCUGGGGUUACGACCCACGCCCGACAUCCGCUAAGGUGCGCCCCCCACCGCCGCCGCCCGGACGGGAGCGAGGCCGGUCCCGCUCUCGGAGCCCCGAGCGGCCGCAGCGCGGUUCGGGCUCUGGCCGUCGAGGCCGGCGGUGGCGGCGGCUUGGGCCUGUCCCCGCGGCCGAGGUAGUCGCCAGGCGCACUUGACCGUGGGCGCGGAGCGAACGGAUCGCGCAACGCGGGCGGCGGGCUUUAUGUAAAUCGGGGCUGCGCCCGGGCGUCCUAGGUAGGAUGGACCAGCCCCCCGCGCCUCGGCCCUCACGUCCAAUAAGAAGAGCCCCAGCUUGACACCUGCCUAUAUACAGGCGAGCGCGCCCCCGGCCCGCCGACCGCGCGCACAGCCCGCACAGCCCACGCCGCGGGCGAGCGAGACCUCGGCCCGCCACCAUGACUUCCAGUAAGAUCGAGAUGCCCGGCGAGGUGAAGGCCGACCCCGCCGCCCUCAUGGCGUCCCUGCACCUCUUGCCGUCGCCCACGCCCAACCUCGAAAUCAAGUACACCAAGAUUUUUAUUAACAACGAGUGGCAGAACUCAGAGAGCGGGAGAGUGUUCCCUGUCUAUAAUCCAGCCACAGGAGAGCCGGUGUGUGAAGUUCAAGAAGCAGACAAGGCAGAUAUAGACAAAGCAGUGCAGGCAGCCCGCCUGGCUUUCUCUCUUGGUUCAGUGUGGAGAAGGAUGGAUGCUUCAGAAAGAGGCCGUCUGUUGGAUAAGCUUGCAGACUUGGUGGAGCGAGACAGGGCAGUUCUUGCAACCAUGGAAUCCCUAAAUGGUGGCAAACCGUUCUUGCAAGCUUUUUACGUGGAUUUGCAGGGGGUCAUCAAAACUCUUCGGUACUACGCAGGCUGGGCUGAUAAAAUUCACGGGAUGACCAUUCCUGUAGAUGGAGAUUAUUUUACUUUUACAAGACACGAACCCAUAGGAGUAUGUGGACAGAUCAUCCCGUGGAACUUCCCCCUGCUGAUGUUUGCUUGGAAAAUUGCUCCAGCUCUUUGCUGUGGCAAUACAGUAGUUAUUAAACCAGCAGAACAAACACCACUCAGUGCGCUCUACAUGGGAGCCCUCAUCAAGGAGGCUGGCUUUCCGCCGGGAGUCAUCAAUAUUUUGCCAGGAUAUGGGCCAACGGCUGGGGCGGCAAUAGCUUCUCACAUUGGCAUAGACAAGAUUGCAUUCACAGGGUCAACUGAGGUUGGAAAGCUUAUCCAAGAAGCAGCUGGAAGAAGUAACUUGAAGAGAGUAACUCUGGAACUUGGAGGGAAAAGCCCCAAUAUUAUUUUUGCCGAUGCUGAUUUGGACUAUGCUGUGGAGCAGGCUCACCAGGGGGUGUUCUUCAACCAAGGCCAGUGCUGCACCGCGGGGUCUCGCAUCUUUGUGGAGGAGUCCAUCUAUGAGGAGUUUGUGAGAAGAAGUGUGGAGCGGGCCAAGAGGCGCAUAGUGGGGAGUCCCUUUGAUCCCACCACUGAGCAGGGACCCCAGAUUGACAAGAAACAGUACAACAAGAUCCUGGAACUCAUCCAGAGUGGUGUGGCAGAGGGUGCCAAGCUGGAAUGUGGAGGCAAAGGACUGGGCCGAAAGGGAUUCUUCAUAGAGCCCACGGUGUUUUCCAAUGUCACCGAUGAUAUGCGGAUUGCCAAAGAGGAGAUCUUUGGCCCCGUUCAGGAGAUUCUGAGGUUUAAGACAAUGGAUGAAGUGAUCGAAAGAGCCAAUAACUCAGACUUUGGACUUGUGGCAGCUGUCUUCACUAAUGACAUCAACAAGGCCCUCACAGUGUCUUCUGCAAUGCAGGCGGGGACUGUUUGGAUCAAUUGUUACAAUGCCUUAAAUGCCCAGAGCCCCUUUGGGGGAUUCAAGAUGUCUGGAAAUGGGAGAGAAAUACCUACUGAGACAGAAGCUUUGGUGGGAUGGUCAGGAAUCUACAACGAAGCAAGCUCCAAAGGUGGCAGUGCUGCACCCUUCUGUGCAAUGUUGUGGAGACGAUCAGUCUUUGCCGUCAAGAAACGGUCACUGCUCAGGAUAUGACAGCUCUCUGUGCUCCUCAGAGGAGAGCUGGGUUGUCCACUCAUCAGACAUUUCUACAUGGAAACCCAGGGCCUGCUGUUAGCAGGGGGGAGUUUGGCUUGCGAGAGUACUCGGAGGUGAAGACGGUGACAGUAAAGAUCCCUCAGAAGAACUCCUAAGAAGGCCAAGGGGGAAGGUGGAGGCCAUCCCGCAGGACUCUCCCUCUCUGCUCUCCCUGGGGGGCCCGGCUCUCAGGAAUCCAAAGUCCGUACUUGGUCCUUAUUUAAAGUGAAAUAAUGACACGUAGGCCAGGCCAGUCAGUGGGUAAUGAAAGCAGACCAUGUGGGCACCAUUUCCUGGCACUCUGUAAGGGUUCACCUGAGUAAUACCAAAUACUGGGGAAAGGAGACGGAGAGCAGAGGAGUAGCAGUCAGGGACUUCGAUCUCUCCAGAGGGAUGGGCUGGCGCCUUUUGUCACAAAGAACUUUCCUCCUGAGGGAAGGUUGUCCUUCCAUUGUCUUCAUUUUCCCCUUUCCAGCCUCUCUCUGCUCACCCGUCCCUCCCACCCCUCCAAGGAGAUCUCAGCUGAGCUCAUUUGGGGCAGAUGUUUGGGCCGGGAACAAUUUUCCAAGGUUUUGCAGCCAAAUUACCAUUUCAUGUUAUCCACUUCUUCAAAGCAAAACAUGAAAUGGUUUUAGUUAGAGCCAGACCAGACUGAAAAUGCCAGGAGCUGGUACACUGCAGAUGUACCAAGAAGCAAGAACUGGGGACGUUCCUGACCCAGUCUGGCUUUCUUACAUCCAUAAAUAACAUGAGCAAAAGAGCAGGAAGAUGGAGAUCUGGAGAUCAUCCUAUGUAGUUCACAACUUCUGAUCUGGCUGCUUGGCUUUAGGGCGUGUGGGUGCGCGUGUGUUUACUUCCUUCUGGGUGAUUCUGGAAUAAGGUGGGGGCAGGGGGGGGGUUGUUUUUCAUAGAUUGAUAAGAUCUUUUUCCAAAGCUUAUCUUAACAACCCAGAAACGAAUGGCUGGGCUCAAGAAUUUGGUAAAAGGUAAUGCUGGGGGCCUUGCAGAAAUAAUUUCAUUUUCAGUACUGGCUGACAAUUCUUACUAAGUGAAUUAUCUCUGCAGUUGGACUCUUCAGCCUCUGUCCCCCGCCCCCCAUUGCCCCGGCACUGCUAUUCCCAGUGCUCUGGCUGUCACUUUGGCCUAUCUUGCCCUAAAUCCACUGGCAGUAACCCUGGAGAACCUGAGCAAGCCUGCAGAUUCCGUGUCACUCGCAGACUUGCAGCGUGCCACGAUUGCCACGCUCCACCAGACCUCCGCCGACUCGUCCAGCAGCUCGUCCACGUCCGCGCGGCAUUUUCCCUCCCAGCCUCCCCAGGAGCCUCCUGAGGGGGAGGCACUAAGCGGUGCCCCUCCCGCCCCUCCAGUCACACCCUCCUCUCCUGCUUUCCAACGGAUCCACCGCAUCCACCGGUUGAUGGACAGCAUCACCUUCCUUUCCUCCUUCCGCUUUCCUGGCUGCCGAAGUCAGUCCGGUCUGUAACGUAGAUGGAGAUCAUUUAUUUAAAAGUACCAAACAUAGCCUAGAGUACAUGGAAUAUGGCCAACACAUAUAUAGCCUUCUGUAUUUAAUGGGUUUCUGCUUUCUAACCAUCCCGGGUUUCUAUUUAUAAGUCUUGUCUAUUCAUGAUGUUUAAAAGAAAUCCCUCCUCGCUGUUAUUUACGAACGGCAGUGCAUUCAGUGGCCCGAUGCCUUGAGAGACGCCACAUCUCUGAGCCCUUCCAUGUGACUGUCAUGCUCUCCUUAUAGCUUGUGUCCAAGUGAACAUAUCCAUUAACCAGCUAGUUACCUUUCAACUGCGGUAUAGAAUGUGAAAAUGAAGAUUUAUUUCUUUUAAUUUACUUAAAAAGAAACCUCUGUGCUAGCAAUAAAGCAUUUAUAUUGUGUA